RNAcentral lists this ribosomal RNA (447 nucleotides) under uncultured bacterium. Its description in RNAcentral is "partial 16S ribosomal RNA". It matches the Rfam family "Bacterial small subunit ribosomal RNA", at positions 29 to 523 of the family's 1533-position model. The record is from RNAcentral.
AGCGAACGCUGGCGGCAGGCCUAAUACAUGCAAGUCGAACGAACCUUCGGGUUAGUGGCGCACGGGUGCGUAACGCGUGGGAAUGUACACCUUGGUAAGGAACAACGUCGGGAAACUGACGCUAAUACCUUAUAAUAUCUCCGGAUCAAAGAUUUAUCGCCAAGGGAUCAGCCCGCGUCUGAUUAGCUAGUUGGUGGGGUAAUGGCCCACCAAGGCGAUGAUCAGUAGCUGGUCUGAGAGGAUGAUCAGCCACACUGGAACUGAGACACGGUCCAGACUCCUACGGGAGGCAGCAGUAAGGAAUAUUGGACAAUGGGGGCAACCCUGAUCCAGCCAUGCCGCGUGUGUGAAGAAGGCCUUAGGGUUGUAAAGCACUUUCAAACGUGAAGAUAAUGACGGUAUCCGGAGAAGAAGCCCCGGCUAACUUCGUGCCAGCCGCCGCCGUAA